Molecule: non-coding RNA, 628 nt
Organism: Punica granatum (pomegranate)
Lineage: Eukaryota; Viridiplantae; Streptophyta; Magnoliopsida; Myrtales; Lythraceae
Source: RefSeq, a predicted model, not a curated record
CCUAUAAAAGCCUCACUUUCAGCGAUCGGACAUUUCCCCCUGGAAGAAAAUUGUAAACCCUAGCAGAGCGUGACGACAUCCCGAUUCGAACCUCCCCUAAGAAGCUCCAGCCGAACCUCCCCGAUUCGUGCCAUAGCCCAGGAUUUUGGCUAAUCGGCAAUCAGCUCAGAGGUCGAGGGUGAGAAAGUUGCAGUAUAUAUCGGAGCUCGAACAAAGCGUGACGACAUUUCAGGUGGUACCGAGCCAGAAUAUCGCUUGGAAAUGGUGCAGGAUUUCCUUACGAAUCAAGCACCGCCAUCUAUGUAGACGACGAGCUCGUCGGGAGUGGCGAGUAUCGGCCCAAGAAGGAGAUUGCGAUCAAGUUUCCCUGAAAUUGUGUAGUCCGGUGGUCUUCUAAAUUCUCCUAGACGCAUGUCAGGAUUUUGGUUUUUGGGGUUGAAUACUGCAGCUGCAUUUGUGUUGGCCCGUUUAUUACUCUGCUUGAAUGUUUUCUAAAUUUUUGCGAAUCUUUACAUGGUGUUGGGGCUGGUAGUUGAUUUUGCGUUUUAGAACGUAGUACGCCUCUUUGAACCAAAUCCGCACAUUUCCGAUGCUUUUCAUCUAUACAUUCGAUUUCCUUGAGCAGUCC